RNAcentral lists this ribosomal RNA (569 nucleotides) under Trigonopterus relictus. RNAcentral describes it as "partial 16S ribosomal RNA". The record is from RNAcentral. Lineage: Eukaryota; Metazoa; Arthropoda; Insecta; Coleoptera; Curculionidae.
AGAUAGAAACCGACCUGGCUCACACCGGUUUAAACUCAGAUCAUGUAAAAUUUUAAAGGUCGAACAGACCUAGUAUAUUAGCUUCUUCACCAAUAACAAAUUUUAAUCCAACAUCGAGGUCGCAAUCUCUCUCUUCGAUAAGAACUCUAAAAAGAAUUACGCUGUUAUCCCUAAGGUAAUUUAAUCUUCUAAUCUAAAAUAUAGGAUCAUAAACUUAUACAUCAAUAUUUUCCUUAAAAAAAAGUUACUUAAAUUUUUUUAUCACCCCAACAAAACAUAUUCAAAUAUUAUAAACUACACAAUACCUACUAUCUAAAAUAAUCUAAUAUGUAAAACUCUAUAGGGUCUUCUCGUCUUCCAUAUUAAUUUAAGCUUUUUAACUUAAAAAUAAAAUUCUAAUAAAUUUUCAAAGAGACAGUCAUUUUUUCAUCAAACCUUUCAUUCAAGCUUCCAAUUAAAAAACUAGUGAUUAUGCUACCUUUGCACAGUCAAAUUACUGCGGCCAUUUAAACUAAUCAGUGGGCAGGCUAGACUUGAAAUCAUAAUCAACAAGCCAUGUUUUUAAUAAC